This 468-nucleotide ribosomal RNA is filed under the name uncultured bacterium. RNAcentral's name for it is "partial 16S ribosomal RNA". It matches the Rfam family "Bacterial small subunit ribosomal RNA", at positions 28 to 507 of the family's 1533-position model. The record is from RNAcentral.
GACGAACGCUGGCGGCGUGCUUAACACAUGCAAGUCGAACGGAAAGGCCCUGCUUUUGUGGGGUGCUCGAGUGGCGAACGGGUGAGUAACACGCGAGUAACCUGCCCUUGACUUUGGGAUAACUUCAGGAAACUGGGGCUAAUACCGGAUAGGAGCUCCUGCUGCAUGGUGGGGGUUGGAAAGUUUCGGCGGUUGGGGAUGGACUCGCGGCUUAUCAGCUUGUUGGUGGGGUAGUGGCUUACCAAGGCUUUGACGGGUAGCCGGCCUGAGAGGGUGACCGGCCACAUUGGGACUGAGAUACGGCCCAGACUCCUACGGGAGGCAGCAGUGGGGAAUAUUGCACAAUGGGCGGAAGCCUGAUGCAGCAACGCCGCGUGCGGGAUGACGGCCUUCGGGUUGUAAACCGCUGUCGCCUGUGACGAAGCGUGAGUGACGGUAAUGGGUAAAGAAGCACCGGCUAACUACGUG